GGGACAACAGCCAGAAAUGGCUGCUAAUACCGCAUAAGCCUGCUGUGCCGCAUGACACAGCAGGGAAAACCACGGUGGUACAGGAUGGGCCCGCGUCUGAUUAGUUAGUUGGCAGGGUAACGGCCUACCAAGACAACGAUCAGUAGCCGGCUUGAGAGAGUGGACGGCCACAUUGGGACUGAGACACGGCCCAGACUCCUGCGGGAGGCAGCAGUGGGGAAUAUUGCACAAUGGGGGGAACCCUGAUGCAGCAAUGCCGCGUGGGUGAAGAAGCACUCCGGUGCGUAAAGCCCUGUCAGCAGGGAAGAAAAUGACAGUACCUGGACAAGAAGCCCCGGCUAACUACGUGCCAGCAGCCGCGGUAAUACGUAGGGGGCAAGCGUUAUCCGGAUUUACUGGGUGUAAAGGGAGCGCAGGCGGCGUGGCAAGUCAGAUGUGAAAACCCGGGGCCCAACCCCGGGAGUGCAUUUGAAACUGCCAUGCUGGAGUGCCGGAGAGGUAAGCGGAAUUCCUAGUGUAGCGGUGAAAUGCGUAGAUAUUAGGAGGAACACCAGUGGCGGAGGCGGCUUACUGGACGGUAACUGACGCUGAGGCUCGAAAGCGUGGGGAGCAAACAGGAUUAGAUACCCUGGUAGUCCACGCCGUAAAC
This 649-nucleotide ribosomal RNA is filed under the name uncultured bacterium. Its description in RNAcentral is "bacterial SSU rRNA". It matches the Rfam family "Bacterial small subunit ribosomal RNA", at positions 140 to 807 of the family's 1533-position model. The record is from RNAcentral.